Molecule: transfer RNA, 146 nt
Filed under: Candidatus Aenigmatarchaeota archaeon
Lineage: Archaea; Nanobdellati; Candidatus Aenigmatarchaeota
Description: tRNA-Gly
Rfam family: tRNA
About the family: Transfer RNA (tRNA) molecules are approximately 80 nucleotides in length. Their secondary structure includes four short double-helical elements and three loops (D, anti-codon, and T loops).
Source: RNAcentral
GCACCAGUGGUCUAGUGGCAGAAUUCGGGCUUCCCAAGCCUGAGAUGCGGGUUCGAUACCAAGCCCUUCCUUUGCCAAAGAAAGGCCUAGGUUUUAUCCCAAAGAAAGCGUUACCAUAGAACGCGGCGAAAUUCCCGCCUGGUGCA